RNAcentral lists this transfer RNA (73 nucleotides) under Pseudomonas sp. MYb185. Its description in RNAcentral is "tRNA-Asn". The record is from RNAcentral. Lineage: Bacteria; Pseudomonadati; Pseudomonadota; Gammaproteobacteria; Pseudomonadales; Pseudomonadaceae.
UGAGCCUAGCUAGACGCCGCGCAAAUGACUGUUAAUCAUUGGGUCCCAGGUUCGAGUCCUGGUCGCGGAGCCA